Molecule: ribosomal RNA, 497 nt
Filed under: uncultured bacterium
Lineage: Bacteria
Description: partial 16S ribosomal RNA
Rfam family: Bacterial small subunit ribosomal RNA
Source: RNAcentral
GAUGAACGCUGGCGGCGUGCCUAAUACAUGCAAGUCGAGCGAGCAGACGAGGAGCUUGCUCCUCUGACGUUAGCGGCGGACGGGUGAGUAACACGUGGAUAACCUACCUAUAAGACUGGGAUAACUUCGGGAAACCGGAGCUAAUACCAGAUAAUAUAUUGAACCGCAUGGUUCAAUAGUGAAAGACGGUUUUGCUGUCACUUAUAGAUGGAUCCGCGCCGCAUUAGCUAGUUGGUAAGGUAACGGCUUACCAAGGCAACGAUGCGUAGCCGACCUGAGAGGGUGAUCGGCCACACUGGAACUGAGACACGGUCCAGACUCCUACGGGAGGCAGCAGUAGGGAAUCUUCCGCAAUGGGCGAAAGCCUGACGGAGCAACGCCGCGUGAGUGAUGAAGGUCUUCGGAUCGUAAAACUCUGUUAUUAGGGAAGAACAAAUGUGUAAGUAACUAUGCACGUCUUGACGGUACCUAAUCAGAAAGCCACGGCUAACUACGUG